GGCUGUAGCUCAGUGGUAGAGUGCUUGCCUAGCGAGCAUGAGCCACUGGGUUCAAUCCCCAGUACUGCCU
RNAcentral lists this transfer RNA (70 nucleotides) under Ictidomys tridecemlineatus (thirteen-lined ground squirrel). RNAcentral's name for it is "Spermophilus tridecemlineatus (thirteen-lined ground squirrel) tRNA". It matches the Rfam family "tRNA". From Rfam's summary of the family: Transfer RNA (tRNA) molecules are approximately 80 nucleotides in length. Their secondary structure includes four short double-helical elements and three loops (D, anti-codon, and T loops). Further hydrogen bonds mediate the characteristic L-shaped molecular structure. tRNAs have two regions of fundamental functional importance: the anti-codon, which is responsible for specific mRNA codon recognition, and the 3' end, to which the tRNAs corresponding amino acid is attached (by aminoacyl-tRNA synthetases). tRNAs cope with the degeneracy of the genetic code in two manners: having more than one tRNA (with a specific anti-codon) for a particular amino acid; and 'wobble' base-pairing, i.e. permitting non-standard base-pairing at the 3rd anti-codon position. The record is from Rfam by way of RNAcentral. Lineage: Eukaryota; Metazoa; Chordata; Mammalia; Rodentia; Sciuridae.